GAGCACGUUCAGAUAUACAGCUUUGGCAGGCAAAGUGCGGCGAAAAACGGGGGCUUACGAUUGCGUCCGUCGUUCUAAAGGUAUUUUUCGAUCAGUCUUUCCGUGUUGGAUCACUCGACGAACCGCAGCUGAAAAUCACAGCUUCAUUGCGAUCGACAUCAGACGACGAGACGCGCCCGCACGAACGAGCGUUCGUAGCCCCGCGGUACCCUGGUGCAGUGCAGACAUUCCGUCCAGGAAGCAUCUCGUUGCCUUACAUGGACCAUGAUCAAAUCACAUGUGAUUCUGGUUUUCGAUCUUUUGGUUUCAAGGCAACUGGUGGAAGCAGCAGUUCGCGCCUCGUGAUUGACGAGUCGCCCUACACACUGAUGCUACACGUUCACUGAACUUGCCACGUCAAAGAAUCGAUAUCGUUCGACAGGCAAAAUCCUGCUGUCUUUCUGGCCAUUGGCGAAACGGCAUUUGAAAGCAGCAUCACGGUAUCUGGCACGGGAUUUGCGCCCAGCAGCAUACAUCCCUUGUGCUUGCAUGGAAAACGGCCUUGAACUCGGACUUGAGUCAUUGCAGCGAUCAUUUCGAGUGCAGAUUGCGUCGUCGCUUUGCACAAAGGCACUGUAGACGUAUCGGAAUCACUCUUGGAUGCUUCUCUCGCCUUGGUUUCCGUUUGAUAUCUUUUUCAUCAUGGAAAACAUUGUGCGCCACAGAUCCUCUACCGAAUUGGACUGCUUGCACUUGCGCGUGCAGCAGACAGCGUACUAGUCCGCGAGGUUCCCUAGAAAAGGCCCGAGAUCAUAGAAUCCCGCCCCGUGACGCGGAAACGGAAGUGAGCAUCGACCGGAGGCGUCUGGCCGCCCGUCGAUUGCGGGUACCGAACGAUGAAGCGAGCGUUUACGGGCCCCAAGGCAGUGCUCAGAGGGCGCGCGUGCUAACGAUAUCCCGUGGAUAGACGGGAGCACCUCACCACACAGCAAUGCGUCACGAAUGCGACAUGCGCUCCGAGGCCGCACCCAAAGAAGAUGAACUCAGCGAGCAAAGCGUAGAUGGAAACUUCUGUCAGUCCAUGUCAUGCCGUGCCAGCAGCUGUGUGCGACGUUGUGGCGACUUCCUGAACACUGCCAUCAGCAUCAUUGGGCAGUCGACAUCGAGUCUGACAACAAAAGAGAGACCGGCGUUUUUCGAUCCAGGGAUCCGUGAGAGCGGAAAACCAAGCAGUCGUAGAGAAGCCCGCACCGGCCGAUGCUCAUGACACCGGAAAGAGGCUCAACAUUUUAGGGUGCACGCUCGAGUCAUCGCGACAGACGCGUCUCUUCUUAUCCUGGUAUGCGUACAUACCGGCAUCUCGCCGUGUAAACAGCGUUUGUGUUUGCACCCGAGUUGCCACCAUAUACCCGAUGCUGCCGUUCUGUCCGCAGUGGAGUAUUUCUGUGUGGUGUCGCCUCCGUGGAUCGCGUCAGGUUCCACGUGAAGGCGCGCGAGCUCUACGCAACCACGGAAACGACGAGCGUUGCUGUUGGCCUUGGCGUUCCUGCGUUCAACACGCUCAAAACCAGUCUUCGGGUUCAGCAUCGUGCCGUUGACGUAUCCACAGACGCCCGCGCGACGCCGUACCUCUCGCAGGCGCCAUUCGUCUCCGCUGCUACCCGAAUGACGGAUCCUCCUGAAGCGAGCGCGUUUCUUGCCCCAGAAUGCGAUGAACGCGUUGCACUUGCGAGCCAGCCGCUUUGUACGCUUCGUACCGACGCCAUACGUUCCCGGGUUUGCGGCCUGAUACUGCUGAUCGUAUCCAGUACUGGUUGCAUCGCACGUGUGAACGUGAGCAGCGCCGCGAUCGAGCGCGUCUUCCACAGCGCGGAAAAAGGCGAUGUGGCAAGGUCCGCUCUACCCACAAUGCCGGUAUCGCGUCAGAGUGGAGCGUCCUCGGGCGUUCGCUGCACCAUCGGGGACGCACUGCAGCGCUAUGCUUGUGGAGCUAGGCAGACUGUCUGCGGAAGCAGUCUCGCAACACAUCCAUGCAAGGUCCAGCUGGCUCGUUUAACCGCAAAUCCUAGGAUCAGCGUGUUUACUGCGCUCAUAGCGGCAGCGACAUACGACUUGAACAUCUCGAAGGUUCCGUUCGCUCAUGAAUACGGUGGUGAGGAUCAUCGCAACAGCCGCAUACGUCCCGAGUCCAGCCGAGCGUCUCGGGUGCCAAGCACUCUUCCCGCCCUCGCCACACGACGCAAAUGCGGUUCCUAGCGGAUAGCGCCUCGACUGAGAGAUCAUAAUCCAGAGCUCUUGAGCAGCUGGUGCUCCCGGAGCCCAUGCUGAUCGCUGUGUGCAUCCAAAAGGGCGCUCAAGGCUGGCGCCCCGACGCUGAGCGCAACCCCAAUCGCUUCCGUACCUGCUGCCGUUGCAGCUACUGCUGCUGCUGCUGCAGUUGCUGCCACGGGAUGCCGUGUUCACGGAAAGAUGCACGCUGGCUUCCAUUCGCGACCAGCCACAGUGCGUCCAGGGCGCAGUACUUGGUCGCGCCCGUAUGUUUAUUCGCGUACGGUUUCCGAGUGCUCUUUGGGCGUUGGGGGAUUCUCAGCAACCUGCUCCUGCUCCUCCUGCUCCUCCUCCUUGCGAAUCGCUUCAAUGACGUGUUGUCGAACACGUUCAAUGAGGGCGACUUUCCGACCAGAUGCUCCCAGCCCAUACGCUCGACAGUACUGACGCAGGGCCUGCAUCGGGACCCGAUCCAGACGUUCCAUCGCAACAAGCAUUCUCCAAUCGUAGUCAAGUCGCGCGAGUGCCUCGAGGGCCUCCACUCGAUCCUCAGGGAGAACCCGCCGUACGGUGCGUGGUAUUUUCGUGGCUGCGCUCUCUUCACUAGGCUCAGCCUCUGACUCCUCGUCUGGUGGAGGCGCCGGCAGAUCGACGAAUUUUCGAUCGAGCUUCUCGACCUCUUCUAAUCCAAAUUCUGUAGGCACGUCUCUAUUGAGCCAGCGGAGGUUCACAGUAAGCUUGCCUCGACCUGGGCUAACCGAGGCUACGACUCCUUCGUGACCAGCGAGGUUCCCCUGCCGCACCCUUACAAAGUCACCGGCCUGGAUUUUCAGCUCCUGCGAGACAAUGGAUGAUCCUACGGAGAUCUGAUCGAAUAUUCGACGCACUUCGCUCUCUGAAAGCGGUUGCGGUUGGACGAGACCGCGUCCGCCGACGACCCCACCCGCCCGCGAUCGACGAGCACGGUCCCGGCCUACGAACUGAACAACAUAGGCAGUUGAGCGAACAAACUCCCAGGUCUCCUCGUUUAGCACCAUCUCUACCAUGACAUAGCAAGGAAAAAC
This 3311-nucleotide unclassified non-coding RNA is filed under the name Cyanidioschyzon merolae strain 10D. RNAcentral's name for it is "hypothetical transcript". Lineage: Eukaryota; Rhodophyta; Bangiophyceae; Cyanidiales; Cyanidiaceae. The record is from RNAcentral.